AUACGGAGGGGGUUAGCGUUGUUCGGAAUUACUGGGCGUAAAGCGCACGUAGGCGGACUGGAAAGUUGGGGGUGAAAUCCCGGGGCUCAACCCCGGAACUGCCUCCAAAACUUCCAAUCUAGAGAUCGAGAGAGGUGAGUGGAAUUCCAAGUGUAGAGGUGAAAUUCGUAGAUAUUUGGAGGAACACCAGUGGCGAAGGCGGCUCACUGGCUCGAUACUGACGCUGAGGUGCGAAAGCGUGGGGAGCAAACAGAAUUAGAAACCCCAGUAGUCC
This 274-nucleotide ribosomal RNA is filed under the name uncultured bacterium. Its description in RNAcentral is "partial 16S ribosomal RNA". It matches the Rfam family "Bacterial small subunit ribosomal RNA", at positions 523 to 796 of the family's 1533-position model. The record is from RNAcentral.